Long non-coding RNA from Rhagoletis pomonella (apple maggot), 1096 nucleotides. RefSeq lists it as uncharacterized. The record is from RefSeq and is a predicted model, not a curated record. The transcript is spliced from 2 exons. Lineage: Eukaryota; Metazoa; Arthropoda; Insecta; Diptera; Tephritidae.
AUCUGGCUGGUUUAAACUAAGAUCAGCCAGCUGUUCAAUUUAAACUCAGUUUAAACUGGCAAGGAAAAACUGGCCGUAUGUGACUGCAAGUACCAAUUUUUUUCCAUUUGAAUGGCGCAAAACGUGUUAACAUUUGUGUAUCUCUCAGAUACUUUUCCAAAACAGUUUGAACAAGCAGAACUGCGACAACACCACAGUCCCAAUUACCAGCUGUCAUUUUUAUUCCAGCAGGUAACUGUUGCUAUCUCUUUCACACCACCAUCUUUCUUUCGUGACUAUUUUAUAAAUAUCUCAUACUGGUGCUAUGUAUCUCAGGAUUCCAGCAAAAAGAGUGUAUCCACAAGUGUGCAAACUGUUUUGUUGAUUGAAAAGUUUUACGGGUAACAAGCGGCGGAAAAUCUAGCCGGAGCGCAACGAAGAACGACUUCGAGCUGACGCAGAAUUGAGCAGAGGCAAGAAAAUCUCAGUUGUUUCGGGAAAUUGAAAGCGGUCGCUUGUGUUCAGUCGCAAAGUGUACGGUUUUUGUGCGAAAGAAAGGUUUUGAUACGACGACGAAGCCGAGUUUUAACUGGCACGUAGACGAAGACGACGACGGCGGUGGUAAACGGAGGGCAAGCGCCUGGCGUAUGUGAGAAGCGGUGUCAAAGAAGACUAAAAAUAUAAAUAACAAUAAAACGAAAGGAAGGUGAUGUAGAGGAGGAAAUAAGAAGAGUCGUAGUGGACGGACACAGCCUCUUUUAACGCACGCGUGUGUAUAUGUGUAUGACGGUCGCGGCGGUUUAUUUCUUUACGGAAAUUGUAAUUAUAUGAAAAUUGUCGUCAUAAGCUUGCUAUACGCACAGUUUGAAGAAAAAUACGAAGCCAUUGUGUGUGCGUCUGUCCUCAGGAUAUAUGUACAUACUUGUUGUUUUUGUGCUCGGCAGACCCCCAUACCUACUCCGUCAACAGCUUUGGCUAGCACCAGCUGGAGGUGAAUUUUUUGUGUAUAAUUGAAUGAGUGUUCUAAUUAAGGAUUUCGUGAGAGGAAAAAUUUCUCACAACAAAAGUUGAGUCAAAAAUCACAAUAAUAAUUUGUGUCAAAAGUGCAACAAAAAAA